RNAcentral lists this ribosomal RNA (122 nucleotides) under Escherichia coli. RNAcentral's name for it is "partial 23S ribosomal RNA". It matches the Rfam family "Bacterial large subunit ribosomal RNA", at positions 2809 to 2925 of the family's 2925-position model. Lineage: Bacteria; Pseudomonadati; Pseudomonadota; Gammaproteobacteria; Enterobacterales; Enterobacteriaceae. The record is from RNAcentral.
UUCUCCCUGACUCCCUGAGAGUCCUGAAGGAACGUUGAAGACGACGACGUUGAUAGGCCGGGUGUGUAAGCGCAGCGAUGCGUUGAGCUAACCGGUACUAAUGAACCGUGAGGCUUAACCUU